GAUUAAGCCAUGCAUGUCUAAGUUCACACCCUCGUACGGUGAAACCGCGAAUGGCUCAUUAAAUCAGUCGAGGUUCCUUAGAUGAUCCCAAUCUACUUGGAUAACUGUGGUAAUUCUAGAGCUAAUACAUGCCAACCAGCUCCGACCUGUUACAGGGAAAGAGCGCUUUUAUCAGUUCAAAACCAGUCGGCCCCGUCAAAAGGGCCGUCCCUUGGUGACUCUGGAUAACUUUGUGCCGAUCGCAUGGCCUCGAGCCGGCGACGCAUCUUUCAAAUGUCUGCCCUAUCAAAUGACGAUGGUACGUGAUCUGCCUACCAUGUUGGCAACGGGUAGCGGGGAAUCAGGGUUCGAUUCCGGAGAGGGAGCAUGAGAAACGGCUACCACAUCCAAGGAAGGCAGCAGGCGCGCAACUUACCCACUCCUGGCACGGGGAGGUAGUGACGAAAAAUAACAAUACGGAACUCUUUUGAGGCUCCGUAAUUGGAAUGAGUACACUUUAAACCCUUUAACGAGGAUCUAUUGGAGGGCAAGUCUGGUGCCAGCAGCCGCGGUAAUUCCAGCUCCAAUAGCGUAUACUAAAGUUGUUGCGAUUAAAAAGCUCGUAGUUGGAUCUCAGGCAUGGGCGCACGGUCCGCCUCGCGGCGGUCACUGUGUGUAUGUUUCCCAUCCUACGCUUCCCGGUUGUUAGCCCAUGGUGCUCUUCAUUGAGCGUUUUGGGUGGCCGGAACGUUUACUUUGAAGAAAUUAGAGUGUUCAAAGCAGGCACGUCGCCUGAAUAAUGGUGCAUGGAAUAAUGGAAUAGGACCUCGGUUCUAUUUUGCUGGUUUUCGGAACACGAGGUAAUGAUUAAGAGGGACAGACGGGGGCAUCCGUAUUGCGGUGUUAGAGGUGAAAUUCUUGGAUCAUCGCAAGACGAACUACUGCGAAAGCAUUUGCCAAGAAUGUUUUCAUUAGUCAA
RNAcentral lists this ribosomal RNA (958 nucleotides) under Littorina plena. RNAcentral describes it as "SSU rRNA". It matches the Rfam family "Eukaryotic small subunit ribosomal RNA", at positions 42 to 980 of the family's 1831-position model. Lineage: Eukaryota; Metazoa; Mollusca; Gastropoda; Littorinimorpha; Littorinidae. The record is from RNAcentral.